This 445-nucleotide ribosomal RNA is filed under the name uncultured Acidobacteriota bacterium. Its description in RNAcentral is "bacterial LSU rRNA". It matches the Rfam family "Bacterial large subunit ribosomal RNA", at positions 189 to 629 of the family's 2925-position model. The record is from RNAcentral. Lineage: Bacteria; Pseudomonadati; Acidobacteriota.
GGAAGUGAACCAUCUCAGUACCCGGAGGAGAAGAAAACAAACAGUGAUUCCGUCAGUAGCGGCGAGCGAAAGCGGAAAAGCCUAAACCGAUGAGCAUGCUCAUCGGGGUUGUGGGACAGUUCAAUAGGAGUUACAAAUCUGAUAGUUAGCGGAAGUCGCAUGGAAAGGCGCUCCGGAGAACGUUAUAGGCGUGUACGCGAAAACUAUUCAGACUCUGGACUGUAUCCCGAGUAAUGCGGGACACGAGGAAUUCUGCAUGAAUCUGGGAGGACCAUCUCCUAAGGCUAAAUACUCAUACGCGACCGAUAGUGAACUAGUACCGUGAGGGAAAGGCGAAAAGAACCGGGGGAACCGGAGUGAAAUAGAUCCUGAAACCGUGUGCUUACAAGCAGUGGGAGGGCUAUAUGCCUGACCGCGUGCCUUUUGCAUAAUGAGCCGGCUAGUU